GAUGAACGCUGGCGGCGUGCCUAAUACAUGCAAGUCGAGCGAACGGACGAGAAGCUUGCUUCUCUGAUGUUAGCGGCGGACGGGUGAGUAACACGUGGAUAACCUACCUAUAAGACUGGGAUAACUUCGGGAAACCGGAGCUAAUACCGGAUAAUAUUUUGAACCGCAUGGUUCAAAAGUGAAAGACGGUCUUGCUGUCACUUAUAGAUGGAUCCGCGCUGCAUUAGCUAGUUGGUAAGGUAACGGCUUACCAAGGCAACGAUGCAUAGCCGACCUGAGAGGGUGAUCGGCCACACCUGAACUGAGACACGGUCCCGACUCCUACGGGAGGCAGCAGUAGGGAAUCUUCCGCAAUGGGCGAAAGCCUGACGGAGCAACGCCGCGUGAGUGAUGAAGGUCUUCGGAUCGUAAAACUCUGUUAUUAGGGAAGAACAUAUGUGUAAGUAACUUUGCACAUCUUGACGGUACCUAAUCAGAAAGCCACGGCUAACUACGUG
Molecule: ribosomal RNA, 497 nt
Filed under: uncultured bacterium
Lineage: Bacteria
Description: partial 16S ribosomal RNA
Rfam family: Bacterial small subunit ribosomal RNA
Source: RNAcentral